UACGUAGGGGGCUAGCGUUGUCCGGAUUUAUUGGGCGUAAAGAGCGUGUAGGCGGCCAUGUAGGUCCGGUGUGAAAACUCGAGGCUUAACCUCGAGAUGUCAUCGGAAACCAUUUGGCUAGAGUCCGGAAGAGGAGAGUGGAAUUCCUGGUGUAGCGGUGAAAUGCGCAGAUAUCAGGAAGAACACCAAUGGCGAAAGCAGCUCUCUGGGACGGUACUGACGCUGAGACGUGAAAGCGUGGGGAGCGAACAGG
Molecule: ribosomal RNA, 253 nt
Filed under: uncultured bacterium
Lineage: Bacteria
Description: partial 16S ribosomal RNA
Rfam family: Bacterial small subunit ribosomal RNA
Source: RNAcentral